ACUCCUACGGGAGGCAGCAGUGGGGAAUAUUGCACAAUGGGCGCAAGCCUGAUGCAGCAACGCCGCGUGAGUGAUGAAGGUCUUCGGAUUGUAAAGCUCUGUCUUUUGGGACGAUAAUGACGGUACCAAAGGAGGAAGCCACGGCUAACUACGUGCCAGCAGCCGCGGUAAU
RNAcentral lists this ribosomal RNA (172 nucleotides) under uncultured Clostridium sp. Its description in RNAcentral is "partial 16S ribosomal RNA". It matches the Rfam family "Bacterial small subunit ribosomal RNA", at positions 335 to 524 of the family's 1533-position model. Lineage: Bacteria; Bacillati; Bacillota; Clostridia; Eubacteriales; Clostridiaceae. The record is from RNAcentral.